UUAGAAGCCGAAAGGCAUCUUAAAACCAUCGCGAACUUAUCCAAGUUGCUUCGGCGGCGCGGAGUGCACCUUAUGGGCGCCCGCGGCCUCGCCUCUCCGGAGGUGUGGGGCAGCCGCCGGAGGUACGAAACUCUGUCUUAUAGUGGUAUCUCUGAGUAAAAAACAAAUAAGUUA
RNAcentral lists this unclassified non-coding RNA (174 nucleotides) under uncultured Ascomycota. RNAcentral describes it as "sequence contains ITS1". The record is from RNAcentral. Lineage: Eukaryota; Fungi; Ascomycota.